This 73-nucleotide transfer RNA is filed under the name Micromonosporaceae bacterium. It matches the Rfam family "tRNA". Rfam says of the family: Transfer RNA (tRNA) molecules are approximately 80 nucleotides in length. RNAcentral also lists the same sequence under 2 other names. Lineage: Bacteria; Bacillati; Actinomycetota; Actinomycetes; Micromonosporales; Micromonosporaceae. The record is from Rfam by way of RNAcentral.
GCGGGCGUAGCGCAGUUGGUAGCGCGUCACCUUGCCAAGGUGAAGGUCGCGGGUUCGAGCCCCGUCGCCCGCU